This 253-nucleotide ribosomal RNA is filed under the name uncultured bacterium. RNAcentral's name for it is "partial 16S ribosomal RNA". It matches the Rfam family "Bacterial small subunit ribosomal RNA", at positions 524 to 776 of the family's 1533-position model. The record is from RNAcentral.
UACGGGGGGGGCAAGCGUUGUUCGGAAUUACUGGGCGUAAAGGGCGUGUAGGUGGCCAACUAAGUCAGACGUGAAAUCCCUCGGCUUAACCGGGGAACUGCGUCUGAUACUGGAUGGCUUGAGUGUGGGAGAGGGAUGCGGAAUUCCAGGUGUAGCGGUGAAAUGCGUAGAUAUCUGGAGGAACACCGGUGGCGAAGGCGGCAUCCUGGACUGGUCCUGACACUCAGGAGCGAAAGCGUGGGGAGCGAACAGG